GAUGAAGAACGUAGCGAAAUGCGAUAAGUAAUGUGAAUUGCAGAAUUCAGUGAAUCAUCGAAUCUUUGAACGCACCUUGCGCCCUUUGGCCAUUCCGAAGGGCAUGCCUGUUUGAGUAUCAUGAACACCUCAACUCUCAUGGCUCGCCAUGAUGAGCUUGGAUUUGGGGGUCUUGCUGGCCUGUGGUCGGCUCCUCUCAAAUGGAUCAGCUUGCCAGUGUUUGGUGGCAUCACAGGUGUGAUAACUAUCUGCGCUUGUGGUUUUCCAUCAGAUAACCUUCAGUGAUGGAGGUUCGCUGGAGCUCAUAAACGUCUCCCCUAAGCGGGGACAGCCCUUUGAAUGUUUGAUCUCAAAUCAGGUAGGACUACCCGCUGAACUUAAGCAUAUCAAUAAGCGGAGGA
Molecule: unclassified non-coding RNA, 401 nt
Filed under: soil metagenome
Description: partial contains 5.8S ribosomal RNA, internal transcribed spacer 2, and large subunit ribosomal RNA
Rfam family: 5.8S ribosomal RNA (bases 1-121)
Source: RNAcentral